Molecule: long non-coding RNA, 337 nt
Filed under: Vitis vinifera (wine grape)
Lineage: Eukaryota; Viridiplantae; Streptophyta; Magnoliopsida; Vitales; Vitaceae
Description: long non-coding RNA (VVIN_LNC005596)
Source: RNAcentral
CCUUGUUAUUGAUGAGCUCACAAUUCACGCUAUAUCAUUGAGACCUAAUGCCACCAUGGUGGUGCCGUCGGAUUGGAUGACUGCAGAAAAUUGGUUCAAAGUGUCCGAGGCACGUCAAAUCAACCCAGUGCUAUAUUCCACAUUUUCUCCUUCCUUCAACCAGUUCUCUUUCUUGUUCCAACAACACCUCCCCCCUCUCUCUUCUAAUUUGUGUCUUGCAUUGUAUCGAAGUCUCUUGUUUGUCAUAGUCAAGUUGCAUUUCAUAUCAUUCACUGUUUUCGUGUAUACUCAUUAUGUGGGGUUGGGAUUCAUCACCCACAUACUCAUUACAUCCUGC